AGUCUAUAGUUCAAAUACAGAGCACUUGCCA
Molecule: non-coding RNA, 31 nt
Filed under: Mus musculus (house mouse)
Lineage: Eukaryota; Metazoa; Chordata; Mammalia; Rodentia; Muridae
Source: RNAcentral